CAGUAGCCGCGGUAAUACAGAGGGUGCAAGCGUUAAUCGGAAUUACUGGGCGUAAAGCGCGCGUAGGUGGUUUGUUAAGUUGGAUGUGAAAGCCCCGGGCUCAACCUGGGAACUGCAUCCAAAACUGGCAAGCUAGAGUACGGUAGAGGGUGGUGGAAUUUCCUGUGUAUCGGUGAAAUGCGUAGAUAUAGGAAGGAACACCAGUGGCGAAGGCGACCACCUGGACUGAUACUGACACUGAGGUGCGAAAGCGUGGGGAGCAAACAGGAUUAGAUACCCCGGUAGUCCCUGUCUCUUAUAC
RNAcentral lists this ribosomal RNA (301 nucleotides) under uncultured bacterium. RNAcentral's name for it is "partial 16S ribosomal RNA". It matches the Rfam family "Bacterial small subunit ribosomal RNA", at positions 509 to 807 of the family's 1533-position model. The record is from RNAcentral.